AGUGAACGCUGGCGGCAGGCCUAACACAUGCAAGUCGAGCGGCAGCGCGGGGGCAACCCUGGCGGCGAGCGGCGGUCGGGUGAGGAAUGCAUCGGAAUCUACCUCGUUGUGGGGGAUAACGUAGGGAAACUUACGCUAAUACCGCAUACGACCUACGGGUGAAAGUGGGGGACCUUCGGGCCUCACGCGAUGAGAUGAGCCGAUGCCGGAUUAGCUAGUUGGCGGGGUAAAGGCCCACCAAGGCGACGAUCCGUAGCUGGUCUGAGAGGAUGAUCAGCCACACUGGAACUGAGACACGGUCCAGACUCCUACGGGAGGCAGCAGUGGGGAAUAUUGGACAAUGGGCGCAAGCCUGAUCCAGCCAUGCCGCGUGUGUGAAGAAGGCCUCGGUUG
RNAcentral lists this ribosomal RNA (393 nucleotides) under uncultured bacterium. RNAcentral describes it as "bacterial SSU rRNA". It matches the Rfam family "Bacterial small subunit ribosomal RNA", at positions 30 to 425 of the family's 1533-position model. The record is from RNAcentral.